Molecule: ribosomal RNA, 468 nt
Filed under: uncultured bacterium
Lineage: Bacteria
Description: partial 16S ribosomal RNA
Rfam family: Bacterial small subunit ribosomal RNA
Source: RNAcentral
GAUGAACGCUGGCGGCGUGCUUAACACAUGCAAGUCGAACGGAAAGGCCCUGCUCUUGUGGGGUGCUCGAGUGGCGAACGGGUGAGUAACACGUGUGUAACCUGCCCUUGACUUUGGGAUAACUUCAGGAAACUGGGGCUCAUACCGGAUAGGAGCUCCUGCUGCAUGGGGGGGGAUGGAAAGUGUCGGCGGUUUGGGCUGGAAUCGAGGGUUAUGCGCUUGUUGGGGAGGUAGUGGUUUACAAAGGUUUUGACGGGUAGCCGGCCUGAGAGGGGGACCGGCCACAUUGGGCCUAAGAUAGGGCCCAGACUCGUACGGGAGGCAGCAGUGGGGAAUAUUGCACAAUGGGCGGAAGCGUGAUGCAGCAACGCCGCGUUCGGGAUGACGUCUUUCGGGUUGUAAACCGCUUUCGCCGUUGACGAAGCGUGAGUGACGGUAAUGAGUAAAGAAGCACCGGCUAACUACGUG